GAGGCUGCAGAAGAGCGGAGGCGGCCGGCGGGAGCAGCGGGGCUCAGCGCGCACACUCAGCGGCCCGGGAGCCUCCCGAGCUCCGCGCCCGCACGCGCCAGCCGCGGCUCGCGCCUUUCUUGGCCUCCGGGCGCCCGACCUCUCCUCCCCCGCGCCGGCUCGCCGGGGCCGCGGCGGCCCAAGGAGCAGCAUGAAUCUGCGGCUCUGCGUGCAGGCGCUCCUGCUGCUCUGGCUCUCCUUGACCGCGGUGUGUGGAGGUCAUCUGUCCACUGUGAUUUGGAUAAAUUCG
This 289-nucleotide long non-coding RNA is filed under the name Pan troglodytes (chimpanzee). Its description in RNAcentral is "long non-coding RNA NONPTRT018523". The record is from RNAcentral. Lineage: Eukaryota; Metazoa; Chordata; Mammalia; Primates; Hominidae.